RNAcentral lists this ribosomal RNA (164 nucleotides) under uncultured bacterium. RNAcentral describes it as "partial 16S rRNA". It matches the Rfam family "Bacterial small subunit ribosomal RNA", at positions 355 to 511 of the family's 1533-position model. The record is from RNAcentral.
UAGGGAAUCUUCGGCAAUGGACGAAAGUCCGACCGAGCAACGCCGCGUGAGUGAAGAAGGUUUUCGGAUCGUAAACUCUGUUGGUAGAGAAGAACGUUGGUGAGAGUGGAAAGCUCAUCAAGUGACGGUAACUACCCAGAAAGGGACGGCUAACUACGUGCCAG